This 77-nucleotide transfer RNA is filed under the name Plesiomonas shigelloides. Its description in RNAcentral is "tRNA-Gln(ctg)". Lineage: Bacteria; Pseudomonadati; Pseudomonadota; Gammaproteobacteria; Enterobacterales; Enterobacteriaceae. The record is from RNAcentral.
AAGCAGCAUAGCGAGCAGUAAUUAUCGCUGCGCUUGCUGACAGCGUGAUCGCGGGAAGUUCGAGGCUUCGCUGUUUC